AAGGGCUUGAAGGCUAACUUGGAACGGUUAGGAGCUGUCCAAAAUUAAGCUAACCCUAAGAUAGAGUUGACUUGAUUGUAUCAGUUGUUUAGAAAAAUAAUAAAAAUAAUUAAAAAUAACCUUCCCAUCUAUCAUCUUUAGGUCUGGGAUUUUCACCUUUAAACUUCUCUCUUUCUUCCUCCUCUCUUCUUCUUCUUCUCUCCCUCUUCCUUUAAACAAAAAAAAGAACUCGAUUAGAGCCUGUGGGUAUAUGCUUGGAUGUCGAUCCUUACAAUCUGAAUUGCACCCA
Molecule: long non-coding RNA, 289 nt
Filed under: Elaeis guineensis (African oil palm)
Lineage: Eukaryota; Viridiplantae; Streptophyta; Magnoliopsida; Arecales; Arecaceae
Description: long non-coding RNA (EGUI_LNC032228)
Source: RNAcentral